RNAcentral lists this ribosomal RNA (406 nucleotides) under uncultured bacterium. RNAcentral's name for it is "partial 16S ribosomal RNA". It matches the Rfam family "Bacterial small subunit ribosomal RNA", at positions 29 to 526 of the family's 1533-position model. The record is from RNAcentral.
AAUGAACGCUGGCGGCAGGCCUAACACAUGCAAGUCGAAGGAGUGGCGGACGGGUGAGUAAGGUCUGGGAAACGGACCGAUGGAGGGGGAUAAUUACUGGAAACGGAAGCUAAUACCGCAUACACUCGGCUGUGCCCAAAUGGGAUUAGCUAGAAGGUGGGGUAACGGCUCACCUAGGCGACGAUCCCUAGCUGGUCGUAGAGGAUGAACAGCCCAACUGGAACUGAGACCCGGUCCAGACUCCGUCGGGAGUCAGCAGUGGGGAAUAUUGCACAAUGGGCGCAAGCCUGAUGCAGCCAUGCCGCGUGUAUGAAGAAGGCCUUCGGGUUGUAAAGUACUUUCAGCGAGGAGGCGUUACUCGCAGAAGAAGCACCGGCUAACUCCGUGCCAGCCGCCGCGGUAAUAC